AGAGUUUGAUCAUGGCUCAGGACGAACGCUGGCGGCGUGCUUAACACAUGCAAGUCGAACGGUAAGGCCUUCGGGUACACGAGUGGCGAACGGGUGAGUAACACGUGGGUGAUCUGCCCUGCACUUCGGGAUAAGCUUGGGAAACUGGGUCUAAUACCGGAUAUGACUGCGAAUCGCAUGGUUUGUGGUGGAAAGCUUUUGCGGUGUGGGAUGGGCCCGCGGCCUAUCAGCUUGUUGGUGGGGUGAUGGCCUACCAAGGCGACGACGGGUAGCCGGCCUGAGAGGGUGACCGGCCACACUGGGACUGAGAUACGGCCCAGACUCCUACGGGAGGCAGCAGUGGGGAAUAUUGCACAAUGGGCGCAAGCCUGAUGCAGCGACGCCGCGUGAGGGAUGACGGCCUUCGGGUUGUAAACCUCUUUCAGUGCCGACGAAGCGUGAGUGACGGUAGGCAUAGAAGAAGGACCGGCCAACUACGUGCCAGCAGCCGCGGUAAUACGUAGGGUCCGAGCGUUGUCCGGAAUUACUGGGCGUAAAGAGCUCGUAGGUGGUUUGUCGCGUUGUUCGUGAAAACUCACAGCUCAACUGUGGGCGUGCGGGCGAUACGGGCAGACUGGAGUACUGCAGGGGAGACUGGAAUUCCUGGUGUAGCGGUGGAAUGCGCAGAUAUCAGGAGGAACACCGGUGGCGAAGGCGGGUCUCUGGGCAGUAACUGACGCUGAGGAGCGAAAGCGUGGGGAGCGAACAGGAUUAGAUACCCCAGUAGUCC
This 769-nucleotide ribosomal RNA is filed under the name uncultured bacterium. RNAcentral describes it as "bacterial SSU rRNA". It matches the Rfam family "Bacterial small subunit ribosomal RNA", at positions 8 to 796 of the family's 1533-position model. The record is from RNAcentral.